AACGCACAUUGCGCCCCCUGGUAUUCCGGGGGGCACACCUGUUCGAGCGCCAUUUCAACCCUGGAGCCCUGCUCUGUGAUGGGCCCCGUCCUCAGGGACGGGCCCGAAACCCGUGGGCGCCUCCGUAAGGCCCUGAGCGUAGCAAGAGAAAUCCCUCGCUCGGAGUGCCCCAUGGCGGCCGCCCCGAACCAUCUUAAAAGGUUGGCCUCGGAUCAGGUGGGGAUACCCGCUGAACUUAA
Molecule: unclassified non-coding RNA, 239 nt
Filed under: Cortinarius sp.
Lineage: Eukaryota; Fungi; Basidiomycota; Agaricomycetes; Agaricales; Cortinariaceae
Description: partial contains 5.8S ribosomal RNA, internal transcribed spacer 2, and large subunit ribosomal RNA
Source: RNAcentral